GCCUACUUAGCACAGUGGGCAGUGCGUCAGUCUCACAGUCUGAAGGUCCUGAGUUCAUUCUCAGAGAGGGCA
This 72-nucleotide transfer RNA is filed under the name Loxodonta africana (African savanna elephant). It matches the Rfam family "tRNA". Rfam says of the family: Transfer RNA (tRNA) molecules are approximately 80 nucleotides in length. The record is from Rfam by way of RNAcentral. Lineage: Eukaryota; Metazoa; Chordata; Mammalia; Proboscidea; Elephantidae.